AUCUGUCUCUGUGCCAGCCAAGGCCUGAAAUGCCAAGCACUUGACUCCAUUGUCCUUUUCAUUUUGCCAGGCAGUACCUGCCCCGAAGCUGCAAAGAAAAAUGCCCCGGAUGACUUAAUCUGAAAGGGCCAGAGAGCGUGGAAAUGUGACCGUGUAUGUGAAACCUUAUUCAUUUAAAAAUAUGAUCUAGUUGCAUCUGUAAUAAUUUCUAGAGCUUAAUGAUUUCUUCAUUUAUUUUCUAGAGCUCCAUAUCUACUUUAUAGCUAAUAGUAACCAUAAUCUCUGUUAUAGCUAGUAAUAUACUACUAAAAUGUAGUAGUGUACUAGUAUGGCUAUAGGAAAUAGCACAGAUUGCUUUUCUCUCUUCAUAGUUUUAGCUUUGAAUUGCCUAUGUUGAAACUCAAAUGUUUGUUUUCUAAUUUUUUGCACAUUCUCAAGAGCUAUUUUUUGUAGUCUGCUGGAAUUUUUCAUCCCCAUAUUUGCUUGGCAAUUUUUCUUACCCCCAAGCUGUCCAGUGUCUACUGUAGAAUUACGAUUCUGUAAAGAUCAACCUUUUAACUGUUGGAUGACUCCUCAUUGCUUACAGCAUUUUUUUUUUUUAAACUCUGUAUCUCUGGCUGGCCUGUUACCUCUCUGUUCUUGCUGUAUGGGAAGUAUCCAGGAACUCACUGAGGCACUGUGACAGAUACACAACUGAAGUACAAACGAAUGAUGCUCCAUGGGGCUGUCCUGGACCACGGAGGGAUGGGAGCCAAGAAGUGAGCCUGGAGGCAUUGUCAUGCCAUCGCCUUUCGUCUACUGAAACUCACAUUUCAGGUACUUCUCCCUCUUACACAAUAAAACAGCAAAGACAUGGGGUGGCGGGGGGGGGGGAAUCAAGUUGGCCUUGCAGCCUGGAAGCCUCUGGACUAGAUUUGCCUGGGCACCUUAGGGAGUUGGUAUUGACGCGCAGACAUGGAAACACAGAGUUUUAGAUUACUGAGCGAAAGAGAAAGAGAGAGAGGGAGAGAGAGUGGUGUAUCUGUGUGGGCUUGUGUGUUCUUUUUAAAAAAAAUUAUUUAAGUAUAGUUGAUUUGCAGUGUUAAUUUAUGCUCUAUAGCAAAGUGUGUCACUUAUACAUAUAUUUUUUUUCCACUAUGGUUUUUCACUAUAUUGAAUAUAGUUCCCUGUGUAUGCAGUAGGACCUUGUUUAUCUAUCCUAUAUAUAAUAGUUGGCCUCUGCUAAUCCCGAACUAUUUGUGUGUUGUUAACCUCUACUAGAUGGUUAUGAAGCUUACUCAAGGUUGAACACUGUAGAGGUAUUUCAAGUUGCUUUAGAGAGAAAAUUACCAAAAAAACCCCACAAAAACCUUUUUUAAAAAAAUGAUUUUUGUAUUUUCCAUUAUAGUUGGUUUAGAGUUUUCUGUGGUGGCUCUACUAUACAGCCAAGUGACCCAGUCAUACAUACAUAUAUACAUUCUUUUUGUUACAUUAUCCUCUAUCAUGCUCCAUCGCAAGUG
RNAcentral lists this long non-coding RNA (1499 nucleotides) under Sus scrofa (pig). RNAcentral's name for it is "lncRNA (ENSSSCG00065067910.1)". Lineage: Eukaryota; Metazoa; Chordata; Mammalia; Artiodactyla; Suidae. The record is from RNAcentral.